GAUGAACGCUGGCGGCGUGCCUAAUACAUGCAAGUCGAGCGAACGGACGAGAAGCUUGCUUCUCUGAUGUUAGCGGCGGACGGGUGAGUAACACGUGGAUAACCUACCUAUAAGACUGGGAUAACUUCGGGAAACCGGAGCUAAUACCGGAUAAUAUUUUGAACCGCAUGGUUCAAAAGUGAAAGACGGUCUUGCUGUCACUUAUAGAUGGAUCCGCGCUGCAUUAGCUAGUUGGUAAGGUAACGGCUUACCAAGGCAACGAUGCAUAGCCGACCUGAGAGGGUGAUCGGCCACACUGGAACUGAGACACGGUCCAGACUCCUACGGGAGGCAGCAGUAGGGAAUCUUCCGCAAUGGGCGAAAGCCUGACGGAGCAACGCCGCGUGAGUGAUGAAGGUCUUCGGAUCGUAAAACUCUGUUAUUAGGGAAGAACAUAUGUGUAAGUAACUGUGCACAUCUUGACGGUACCUAAUCAGAAAGCCACGGCUAACUACGUGCCAGCAGCCGCGGUAAUACGUAGGUGGCAAGCGUUAUCCGGAAUUAUUGGGCGUAAAGCGCGCGUAGGCGGUUUUUUAAGUCUGAUGUGAAAGCCCACGGCUCAACCGUGGAGGGUCAUUGGAAACUGGAAAACUUGAGUGCAGAAGAGGAAAGUGGAAUUCCAUGUGUAGCGGUGAAAUGCGCAGAGAUAUGGAGGAACACCAGUGGCGAAGGCGACUUUCUGGUCUGUAACUGACGCUGAUGUGCGAAAGCGUGGGGAUCAAACAGGAUUAGAUACCCUGGUAGUCCACGCCGUAAACGAUGAGUGCUAAGUGUUAGGGGGUUUCCGCCCCUUAGUGCUGCAGCUAACGCAUUAAGCACUCCGCCUGGGGAGUACGACCGCAAGGUUGAAACUCAAAGGAAUUGACGGGGACCCGCACAAGCGGUGGAGCAUGUGGUUUAAUUCGAAGCAACGCGAAGAACCUUACCAAAUCUUGACAUCCUUUGACAACUCUAGAGAUAGAGCUCUCCUCUUCGGGGGACAAAGUGACAGGUGGUGCAUGGUUGUCGUCAGCUCGUGUCGUGAGAUGUUGGGUUAAGUCCCGCAACGAGCGCAACCCUUAAGCUUAGUUGCCAUCAUUAAGUUGGGCACUCUAAGUUGACUGCCGGUGACAAACCGGAGGAAGGUGGGGAUGACGUCAAAUCAUCAUGCCCCUUAUGAUUUGGGCUACACACGUGCUACAAUGGACAAUACAAAGGGCAGCGAAACCGCGAGGUCAAGCAAAUCCCAUAAAGUUGUUCUCAGUUCGGAUUGUAGUCUGCAACUCGACUACAUGAAGCUGGAAUCGCUAGUAAUCGUAGAUCAGCAUGCUACGGUGAAUACGUUCCCGGGUCU
This 1372-nucleotide ribosomal RNA is filed under the name uncultured bacterium. RNAcentral's name for it is "bacterial SSU rRNA". It matches the Rfam family "Bacterial small subunit ribosomal RNA", at positions 28 to 1381 of the family's 1533-position model. The record is from RNAcentral.